This 470-nucleotide ribosomal RNA is filed under the name uncultured bacterium. RNAcentral describes it as "bacterial SSU rRNA". It matches the Rfam family "Bacterial small subunit ribosomal RNA", at positions 37 to 518 of the family's 1533-position model. The record is from RNAcentral.
AACGCGUGGCGGCGUGCCUAACACAUGCAAGUCGAGCGAGGAGAUCCUUCGGGAUGAUCCUAGCGGCGGACGGGUGAGUAACACGUGGGCAACCUGCCUCAUAGAGAGGAAUAGCCUUCCGAAAGGGAGAUUAAUACCUCAUAACAUUGCAGUUUCGCAUGGAACAGCAAUUAAAGGAGCAAUCCGCUAUGAGAUGGGCCCGCGGCGCAUUAGCUAGUUGGUGAGGUAACGGCUCACCAAGGCGACGAUGCGUAGCCGACCUGAGAGGGUGAUCGGCCACAUUGGGACUGAGACACGGCCCAGACUCCUACGGGAGGCAGCAGUGGGGAAUAUUGCACAAUGGGGGAAACCCUGAUGCAAGCAACGCCGCGUGAGUGAUGACGGCCUUCGGGUUGUAAAGCUCUGUCUUCAGGGACGAUAAUGACGGUACCUGAGGAGGAAGCCACGGCUAACUACGUGCCAGCAGCCGC